CAAUUGAUUAACCAUUAUUUAAACUGAAUAAAUACUGAAUAACUGAAUCCCUCACACACACCGAAAAAAAACCCCGCGCUUUUAUUUUGACACGCGCCCAUCCCCCCACAUCUCACGGUCGGAGUCAGUUUCACAGAGCAGCGCAGGAGGACGACAGACACAUAAAGAACAUUAACAGUUUAGGGCAAACGUUUCCCGCGCAAGUUUGAAUCUCUCUCAGUCAGUCAGGGGGAGAUUAACUGACUGACUGUCUACACGCCACCAAACAGUCAGUUAUACAGAAACCUUUUUAACUUUAGUUUGAAUCUCUCUCAGUCAGUCAGGGGGAGAUUAACUGACAGACUGUAUAACGUUACAGGCCACCAAACAGUCUUACCAAGAAACCUUUUACAGUUUAGCACAAAUGUUUCCCGUGGAAGUUUGAAUCUCUCUCAGUCAGGGGGGAGAUUGACUGACAGACGGUCUACUUGCCACCCAAACAGUAAUUUACCCUGAAACCUUUUACAGUUUAGCGCAAACGUUUCCUGCGCAAGUUUGAAUCUCUCAGUCAGGGGGGAGAUUGACUGACUGACUGACUGACUGUCUACUCGCCACCAAACAGUCAGUUACACAGAGGUAACAAGUAAGGACUAACGUUAACUGACUGUCUGUAUGUCUGUCUGUCUGCUCUCAACCAAACAGUCAUUCAAGACCUUUUAAAGUUUAGUGCAAACGUUUCCAGCGCAAGUUUGAAUCUCUCUCAGUCAGGGGGGAGAUUGACUGACAGACUGUCUACUCGCCACCAAACAGUAAUCCACACAGAAACCUUUUAAAGUUUAGCACAAAAGUUUCCCGCGCAAGUUUGGAUCUUUACCAUUGAGGGUGGCUGACUGUUCUCAACCAACCAUCAUUCACACGCAAAAACUUUAAAGAUAAGUAUGAACGUGCCCAGAGCAGUUUUCGAUCUUUACCAUUAAGGAGGCUGACUGACUAUCCUCUACCACCCGUCAUUAACACAAGAAAAACUAAAGAAAUGUUACUCCUUAUGGACCUAUUCAUUUACUCAUUAUGCUGUGAGUUCACCAGUUUUAUCAGGGAAAAAAUUUAUAUUUGUGUGUUUCUCACUGCUUGACAAGGAAAGAUGUGGCCCUGUUAAAAAUGUUUAAAUGUCGUUUGGUUUAAGGAACAGCACACUGAUUUUGUUUUUAAAUAUUCCUGUUUGGACAGUCUGUUAAAGUCAUAAAGGAAUACUUGAUAUAUUUCAUAAGUAAAGUGUAAAUGUAAUAUUAGUUUUUAAUGUUGUGAAUUUGGACUGAACAGCACACUUCUGUUUUAUA
Non-coding RNA from Paramisgurnus dabryanus, 1316 nucleotides. The record is from RefSeq and is a predicted model, not a curated record. Lineage: Eukaryota; Metazoa; Chordata; Actinopteri; Cypriniformes; Cobitidae.